This 3518-nucleotide long non-coding RNA is filed under the name Marmota monax (woodchuck). Lineage: Eukaryota; Metazoa; Chordata; Mammalia; Rodentia; Sciuridae. The record is from RNAcentral.
GAGUUAUGUGGUGGAGCUGAUGAACCCGCACGACAUUGUGCUCUGGCUCUUGGAAAAACGAGCUCACCUGCUCCCCAUGGUACUGGGGAAUUGAACACAGUGGCACUCUAUCACUGAGCUACAUUUCUACCUCUUUUAUUUUUUAUUUUGAGAUAAGCUCUCACUAAGUUGUCCAGGCUGGCCUCAAACUUGUGAUCCUCCUGCCUUGGCCUCCCAAGUAGUUGGAGUGACAGGCAUGCUGCUGGCACAGUGAAAAAGGAGAUCUUUAAUCUCUACUUCAACAUUUUCCCCUUCAAAGAGGUAAUAGAUUGAGGUGGGAGGAUCACUUGAGCCCAGGAAUUUGAGACCAGUCUGGACAAUAUAUUUAGACCCCUCCUCAAACAAACAAGAAAGAUAUAAUAGAUGUCUUUGUUCAUCUUUCAGCAACCCAUAAGGAUGGGGGUACCAAGAGUUGAGUGACUAUUCCAGGAACUUGUUGCUUUUGUUUUCUAAUACCCAGCUAUAACAACAAUAGUUUGAGAAUGCUGCACAACCCAGGGGUUCUACAUCCAAAAGUCAUGGUGUAUCUUGGCGGGUAUGGGCUGGACAGGCCAUACUGUCUUCUAAAAAUAACUGAUGGUACAUUCAGUUAAUCUGAUUUUCUGCUGACCAGGAGAAGGGACUUCCAUGUUAGGCCAGGUGAGUGGGAGUGGCCAUGAGAUGGAUGAGGAAGCUGUGUGCACUAGCACAUGCCUGUAACCCCAGAGACUCCGGAGGCUGAGGCAAGGAGGGUUGCAGGUUCCAAGGUAGCCUGAGCAUCAUAGUGAGACUCUGUCUUAAAAUUUUAAAAAAGGUGUAAAGGACUGGGGAUGUGGCUCAGUGGUAAAAUGCCCCUGGGUUCAAUCUCCUGUACCUACCACCACUCCCUACCCCUCCAAAAAAAGAAAGAAAAAAAUAAAAGUUUGAGGAGAUUUUUCAUUAGGAAAACUGUUUAUGAAAAGAAAGGAUAGAGUAGCUCCAAAGAAUGUGAUCUCUGGCUUCAUUAGACCUGGGCUGAAGUCCUGGUAGCUUUAGGCUGACUGUUGACAUGAUCUUGGGAAAGUGUUCAUUUGACCUCUGUGUGCCUCAGUAUUGUCAUCAGUAAAGUCAGGAUGGCCAAGUUCCUCCUCAUGGAGUGUUUGUGGAGGUUACAUAACACCAAAGAAGCAUUUAGUAUGGUUUACUCUACAUAGUAAGUACUCAUGAAGUUAUAGUUGUCUGUUUCCUUUUUAAAAAUAAAAGCAGCAAAAGGCUAUGUGACAGGCUGAGAUCUUAUUCAAAGGCAUUAUACAUAUGAAUGGGUAACAAUAAAUCCCACUAUUAUAUAUACUUACAAAGCACCAAUACUUUAAAAACAAAGUUAGAGGAAAGACUGAAGAGGGGAAAUUCAGAGCUAGAAAGGGAAUCUGGGGCACAAGUUCCAUGCUCAAAGAACAGUUCUGGGAACUAGGGGUGUGUGGAAUUAACAGGAACACUGGUCAGAGGACUCCUCUGUGGAGAGCCAGGAGAGGCCGGCCAAUAUGUGAGUGCUGAGGGAAGCACUUUUACCUGUGGCAGAAAGAAGUCCCGAACAGUCCAGCAAAAACAAAAAAUCUCUGUUAUUCUCCAGAAAUCAGGGAAUCAAAAAUGAAGGCUCAACCAUGGGCAGAAGUUAGAGGCUUUUUCCGCAGAAGCCAGGCACACUCUCAGAGGCAGGCUGGGGAAGUGCUUGCUGGCCAGGCACCGUGAUGAGGAUCACUUGAGCCCUGAGUUCAAGGUUACCCUCAGCAAGGCCUGUCUUGAAGGAAAAAAAAAAAAAAGUGCUUACUAUCACAAGGGAUAGGCAAAGAAAGCACAAAAACACCCUGGGAAAAGAGAUGUUUUAUGCUCUAAGUUUAUGCCAAACCAAUUCAAAAAUGAGUCUGAAAACUGACCUCACUUCAACUUCUAGGUUUACAUACGAGGAAAUCAAAGCCCUUCCCAGAAGUAGUGGGUAGUUGUGUGAUGGGGUAUGAUAUGCCUGGAGUGUUGGCAUAAAUGUGUGAGUGUGGCCAUUGCAACAGACUGGGGUGGGUGGGGGGUGAAGUGCACCCAGGGAAGAGAGUUUUCAGAGAAAAAGCCACCCCCACCAUCUCUUAAUGAUGAACCCAAAAGUGGCAACAAAAGAAACUGAGGUUAAUGACAGUAGGAAAAUAGGAGGCAAGUAAAACCUUCCAUUCAGGGAAUAUGUGGGGAUCAUAUAUCUGAUCCCAUCAAAUGUGUCUUCUACAUACAACAGAAGCUGAAAGCUAAAGAUGAGGUAAACAGGAGCGUAGGGUAACUGGGUGCAGUCCAGCCCUGCAAACGGGAAGGGUGACUGCUCCAGGUACAGGAAUUCACACUCAGUUUUUUUAAAAACACUGACUUUGCCAAAGGAAACACAGAGCUCAGCCUCACUGCCAUGUCACCGAUUUGCAAACACAGUUCUCCACAGUGUUAAAGUGUAAAAUAGCUUCAAUGAAAGAGUUUUAGUCUAAAGAGACCUGUGAAAGGACAGUUUCAUUUUAAAGGGGAUCCCAGCUGAAUGAAAACGCAGAAUCCUGAGAUUUUUUUCCAUCUACAUAUUGAUAAAAGGGAUAUUUUCAUAUUUAUAUGAGAUGGUGUCUGUCUUUCCCAUUGAAAAUAAAAACAAGAGAGACGUCCUUCACCUCAAGCACCAACACUGUAUUAAUGGUGCUUAAUAAAUAUUUGUGGAAUGAAUAUAUGGGGUUAUAAGCAGAGCAAAGCACUAACUGGAGCUAGAACAAUACCUCUCUUUUGAGGUUAUAAAACUAAGGGGGUGGAUCUCUAGAUCUAAUCCUCCCCUCCUCCCUUCAGGAUUUAUUUUUAACCUUGUGGAUAUCUUUUUGUACAAAGCCAAAGACUUCAGUGGUAGGACCUCCCUCAUCUUGUUGCUUGAGCAGAGAUCAAAGAGCAUGGGCAGCCUCCCAAGAACAGCUUAUUAUGGAAUUUGCAUCCUAGGUUGUAUCCAAGCGGACUUGGUUCUCUGGGAUCUGAGCAAAGGAACUUCAGAACUCAGGCUGAUAACCCUUCUAACCACCUGCCUCCAUGAUUCUUGAGCACAGAGAGGGGCACCAGCCUCACAGAGUUGUAAGGAGUAAAUGAUACUGUGUAUGGAAAAGGCAUAAUCAGUGCCUGGCACAUAGUAAGCACUCCAAUACUAUGGCUAUUAUUAUCUAUUAUAGAAACAGUAGAUGAAUGGUUUUUUAAAAUUGGCCUAAUUUUGGAAAUGGGAAGAAAGUUAGGAAUUAGGACAACAAACUGAGAAGCUAAGUAUGUUAGCUUUUUGCUGCUAUGACCAAAAUAUCUGACAAUUACAACUUCAAGGAAAUAAAGUUAUUUUGGCUUCUGCUUUUGGAGGUUUUAGUCCAUAGUCUGCCAUCUGCAUUGCUUUGGUGUUGAGGGGAAGCAGAACAUCAUGGUGGAAGAAAGGAUGUGACAGAGGAAAUCUGCUCAGCUGAUGGCAGCUGAAAACCAGGGGG